Molecule: ribosomal RNA, 395 nt
Filed under: uncultured choreotrichid ciliate
Lineage: Eukaryota; Ciliophora; Spirotrichea; Choreotrichida
Description: SSU rRNA
Rfam family: Eukaryotic small subunit ribosomal RNA
Source: RNAcentral
CAAUAGCGUAUAUUAAAGUUGUUGCAGUUAAAAAGCUCGUAGUUGGAUUUCUGGUUGGCUAGUUUCUGCCUCCUUGUGGAUGUGCAGUGGUAGCCUACCAUCCUUCUGUUAACCCUUCAGCGCUUCAUUGUGUUGUUGGGGGCUCAGAUAUUUUACCUUGAGAAAAUUAGAGUGUUUCAGGCAGGCUAGCGCCGGAAUACAUUAGCAUGGAAUAAUAGAAUAGGACUUUUACCUCUUCUGUUGGUCUGAGGGGUUCAAGUAAUGAUUAAUAGGGAUAGUUGGGGGCAUUAGUACUUAACUGUCAGAGGUGAAAUUCUCGGAUUUGUUAAAGACUAACUUAUGCGAAAGCAUUUGCCAAGGAUGUUUUCAUUAAUCAAGAACGAAAGUUAGGGGAU